GAGGGUUUUAUUAAAAAAUUUUGAAUUUAAAUUAAAAGUAAAAAUGCUUUUAUUAUUUCCUAGGACGAGAAGACCCUAGAAGCUUUAAUAAGUAUAAACUUUUUAAUUGGGGCAAUUUAUGAAGAAAAGUAUUUUUAAUACUAAUAUUUAUAUAUAAUAUAUAUAUAUAUAUAUAUAAAGUUAAUUAAUUUAAUAGAAGUUACUCUAGGGAUAACAGCGUUAUUUAGUUAACAAGUUCUUAUUAAUAAUUAAGUUUGCGACCUCGAUGUUGAAUUAAUAAUCAUUUUUGGUGAAGAAGCUAAAAGUUUUUAGUCUGUUCGACUAUUAAAAUAUUACGUGAUCUGAG
RNAcentral lists this ribosomal RNA (346 nucleotides) under Mitobates sp. n. MZSP 73044. RNAcentral's name for it is "partial large subunit ribosomal RNA". The stretch from base 210 to 346 matches the Rfam family "Bacterial large subunit ribosomal RNA", at positions 2473 to 2609 of the family's 2925-position model. Lineage: Eukaryota; Metazoa; Arthropoda; Arachnida; Opiliones; Gonyleptidae. The record is from RNAcentral.